CAGCAGCCGCGGGAAUACGUAGGGUGCAAGCGUUAAUCGGAAUUACUGGGCGUAAAGCGUGCGCAGGCGGUUUGUUAAGACAGAUGUGAAAUCCCCGGGCUCAACCUGGGAACUGCAUUUGUGACUGGCAAGCUAGAGUAUGGCAGAGGGGGGUGGAAAUCCGCGUGUAGCAGUGAAAUGCGUAGAUAUGCGGAGGAACACCGAUGGCGAAGGCAGCCCCCUGGGCCAAUACUGACGCUCAUGCACGAAAGCGUGGGGAGCAAACAGGAUUAGAUACCCCGGUAGUCCCUGUCUCUUAUAA
RNAcentral lists this ribosomal RNA (301 nucleotides) under uncultured bacterium. RNAcentral's name for it is "partial 16S ribosomal RNA". It matches the Rfam family "Bacterial small subunit ribosomal RNA", at positions 509 to 809 of the family's 1533-position model. The record is from RNAcentral.